Long non-coding RNA from Oncorhynchus keta (chum salmon), 1724 nucleotides. RefSeq lists it as uncharacterized. The record is from RefSeq and is a predicted model, not a curated record. NCBI's taxonomy places the organism in Eukaryota, Metazoa, Chordata, Actinopteri, Salmoniformes, Salmonidae. The transcript has 5 exons.
AGCUUCUCCUCCUUCUGUUUCCUUUCCUUAAUCUGCACUGGUCUGAAAUAAUUUCAUUAAAAUGACAAGUAGCUAUUUAAUAGCACCUAAUCAUACGAAAUAUAGACGGGCUAUACAAUACUUACUUGCGUGUAAUCAGCAUCGACAUGAGACUGAUAUGAAUCCAGAACGGUUAUGGGGGUUUGGUUUCACUUAUUUUGUUGGUUUCAGUUCUUGGGCGGGAGGGCGUGUCUUGUAAACAGAGUACAGCUGCGGUUGUGCUGUGCACUGUAGUUGGUGGUGAAGCAGUCUGAAGUAAAAGACAAAUGGCGAGAGGGAGAAGACAAAAUCGAUACAUGAAGAAACUGUUCAUCCUUCGAGGUUUGCCAGGAGUUGGAAAGACAGAGAAGGCAAAAUUCUUCAAGUAGCCACCCUUUUGCCUUGAUCACAGCUUUGCACACUCUUGGCAUUCUCUCAACCAGCUUAAUGAGGUAGUCAACUGGAAUUCUGGCUCUCAUGAAGAGUUACCUCUGCUGCAGAGGAUACGUUCAUUAGAGUUACCAGCCUCAGAAACUGCAGUCCAUAUAAAUGGUUCACGCAGUUCAAGUAACAGACACAUCUCAACAUCAACUGUUCAGAGGAGACUGUGUGAAUCAGGCCGGUAGAAUUGCUGCAACGAAAGCACUACUAAAGGACACCAAUAAGAAGAAUAGACUUGCUUGGGCCAAGAAACAUGAGCAAUGGAAAUCUGUUCUUUGGUCUGAUGAGUCCAAAUUUGCGAUUUUGGGUUCCAACCACCGUGUCUUUGUAAGACACAGAGUAGAUUCAUGGAUGAUCUCUGCAUGUGUGGUUCCCACAAAGCAUGGAGGAGGAGUGCUGGUGACACAGUCUGUGAUUUAUUUACAAUUCAAGGCACACUUAACCAGGAUGGUUGUAAUUUUGAAUAGACUGAAACACUGUAUUUGAAAUAUAUAAAUAUCUAAUGAAAUUAUUUCCUUUUUUGCUUUCCAGAAAACUCUGGGACGAAUAUGCAAGACUUGGACUGAAAGGAGACAUUUUCUCCACUGACAGUUUUUAAAGCCAUGAACAGAGGUGUGGAUCCGAUCAUCGUUGACAACACAAACAUUUCUCUUUGGGUGAUGUGGCCCUAUAUCCACAUGGGGAUUGGACAGAAGAACUAUUACAUCAUAAUGGUGGAACUGCCGAAAGGCAGGGGAUUGGACAGAAUAACUAUUACAUCAUAAUGGUGGAACUGCCUAAAGGCAGGGGAUUGGACAGAAGAACUAUUACAUCAUAAUGGUGGAACUGCCUAAAGGCAGGGGAUUGGACAGAAGAUCUAUUACAUCAUAAUGGUGGAACUGCCUAAAGGCAGGGGAUUGGACAGAAGAACUAUUACAUCAUAAUGGUGGAACUGCCUAAAGGCAGGGGAUUGGACAGAAGAACUAUUACAUCAUAAUGGUGGAACUGCCUAAAGGCAGGGGAUUGGACAGAAGAACUAUUACAUCAUAAUGGAGGAACUGCCUAAAGGCAGGGGAUUGGACAGAAGAACUAUUACAUCAUAAUGGAGGAACUGCCUAAAGGCAGGGGAUUGGACAGAAGAACUAUUACAUCAUAAUGGAGGAACUGCCUAAAGGCAGGGGAUUGGACAGAAGAACUAUUACAUCAUAAUGGUGGAACUGCCUAAAGGCAGGGGAUUGGACAGAAGAACUAUUACAUCAUAAUGGUGGAACUGCCUAAAGGCAGGG